AAGGAUCAUUAUCGUGGGGCUUCGGCCCUAUCGAGAUAGAACCCUUGCCUUUUUUGUACCUUCUGUUGCCUCGGCGUCUGCUUCACGGCGGCGCCAACGGGGCCAAAUAAUAAACUCUUUUUUAUCAUGAAAUAGUCUGAGAAAAAAAUAAAAGUUAAAACUUUCAACAACGGAUCUCUUGGUUCUG
RNAcentral lists this unclassified non-coding RNA (187 nucleotides) under uncultured fungus. RNAcentral's name for it is "partial contains 18S rRNA, ITS1, 5.8S rRNA, ITS2 and 28S rRNA". Lineage: Eukaryota; Fungi. The record is from RNAcentral.